This is a long non-coding RNA of Hibiscus syriacus, 145 nucleotides long. RefSeq lists it as uncharacterized. The record is from RefSeq and is a predicted model, not a curated record. NCBI's taxonomy places the organism in Eukaryota, Viridiplantae, Streptophyta, Magnoliopsida, Malvales, Malvaceae. The transcript is spliced from 4 exons.
CAUUCUUUUGCUUACGUGAAAGUAAAACCCGGCGGCGGAGGAGGAUGAAGAAGAAAGAAGAGAUCUUCGGCUGCUUGAAUGGGCCUGAUGUUAGAGAAGAUGUGGAGUCGGGUUUUUUUUUAUUAGAGAAUGUCUUAAAAGGGUG